GAUGAACGCUGGCGGCGUGCCUAAUACAUGCAAGUCGAGCGAACGGACGAGAAGCUUGCUUCUCUGAUGUUAGCGGCGGACGGGUGAGUAACACGUGGAUAACCUACCUAUAAGACUGGGAUAACUUCGGGAAACCGGAGCUAAUACCGGAUAAUAUUUUGAACCGCAUGGUUCAAAAGUGAAAGACGGUCUUGCUGUCACUUAUAGAUGGAUCCGCGCUGCAUUAGCUAGUUGGUAAGGUAACGGCUUACCAAGGCAACGAUGCAUAGCCGACCUGAGAGGGUGAUCGGCCACACUGGAACUGAGACACGGUCCAGACUCCUACGGGAGGCAGCAGUAGGGAAUCUUCCGCAAUGGGCGAGAGCCUGACGAAGCAACGCCGCGUGAGUGAUGAAGAUCUUCGGAUCGUAAAACUCUGUUAUUAGGGAAGAACAUAUGUGUAAGUAACUGUGCACAUCUUGACGGUACCUAAUCAGAAAGCCACGGCUAACUACGUG
This 497-nucleotide ribosomal RNA is filed under the name uncultured bacterium. RNAcentral's name for it is "partial 16S ribosomal RNA". It matches the Rfam family "Bacterial small subunit ribosomal RNA", at positions 28 to 507 of the family's 1533-position model. The record is from RNAcentral.